AUAUCCAAAACUAUAAUAACCCUUCCCCCUCUGCACGCGCAGUUAUAGCAAAUUGAACUUGAGCCAAGAGACGGGCCGGUUGUGGGGCUGUGGUUGUCGCCUAAGGCCCACAUCCAUCCCUGGUUCCUGGGCCCUGUUCAGUUCUAAUUCGGUUUGAUACAAUAGUAUGUUAGUUUCGUGGUCACUCUCGCCCUCAUUAGCACAACAGCAUAAUAGUGGAUGAGCAUAGCAGCUCUAGCUAACUAGUACCCAUUGACUUGGCCCUUUCGGGCUUCAGGCCAUUGGGCAAAGUGCUCAGAAAGCUGACCAGGCUAAUUUUUUAAGACGACAUAUUUUUUUUAUGGCAAUUCUGACAGAC
RNAcentral lists this small RNA (358 nucleotides) under Histoplasma ohiense. Its description in RNAcentral is "hypothetical lncRNA". Lineage: Eukaryota; Fungi; Ascomycota; Eurotiomycetes; Onygenales; Ajellomycetaceae. The record is from RNAcentral.